CUCACCAAGGCUGUGAUGGCUAGCUGGUCUGAGAGGAUGACCAGCCACACUGGGACUGAGACACGGCCCAGACUCCUACGGGAGGCAGCAGUGGGGAAUAUUGCGCAAUGGGCGAAAGCCUGACGCAGCGACGCCGCGUGGGUGAUGAAGGCCUUCGGGUCGUAAAGCCCUGUCGCAGGGGAAGAAUAAGCAUCGGUAUAAUACGCCGGUGCCCUGACGGUACCCUGCAAGAAAGCACCGGCUAACUCCGUG
Molecule: ribosomal RNA, 252 nt
Filed under: uncultured bacterium
Lineage: Bacteria
Description: partial 16S ribosomal RNA
Rfam family: Bacterial small subunit ribosomal RNA
Source: RNAcentral